UGGGGGACAGCAGGGGCAUCAGU
RNAcentral lists this microRNA (23 nucleotides) under Sus scrofa (pig). RNAcentral describes it as "ssc-mir32". Lineage: Eukaryota; Metazoa; Chordata; Mammalia; Artiodactyla; Suidae. The record is from RNAcentral.